This 460-nucleotide ribosomal RNA is filed under the name uncultured bacterium. Its description in RNAcentral is "partial 16S ribosomal RNA". It matches the Rfam family "Bacterial small subunit ribosomal RNA", at positions 338 to 795 of the family's 1533-position model. The record is from RNAcentral.
CCUACGGGAGGCAGCAGUGAGGAAUAUUGGUCAAUGGACGAGAGUCUGAACCAGCCAAGUAGCGUGAAGGAUGACUGCCCUAUGGGUUGUCAACUUCUUUUAUAUGGGAAUAAAAUGUUCCACGUGUGGGAUUUUGUAUGUACCAUAUGAAUAAGGAUCGGCUAACUCCGUGCCAGCAGCCGCGGUAAUACGGAGGAUCCGAGCGUUAUCCGGAUUUAUUGGGUUUAAAGGGAGCGUAGGUGGAUUGUUAAGUCAGUUGUGAAAGUUUGCGGCUCAACCGUAAAAUUGCAGUUGAAACUGGCAGUCUUGAGUAAAGGAGAGGUGGGCGGAAUGCGUGGUGUAGCGGUGAAAUGCUUAGAUAUCACGAAGAACUACGAUGGCGAAGGCAGUUCACUGGACUGCAACGGACAUUGAGGCUCGAAAGUGUGGGUAGCAAACAGGAUUAGAUACCCUGGUAGUC